RNAcentral lists this long non-coding RNA (6488 nucleotides) under Gossypium barbadense (sea-island cotton). RNAcentral describes it as "long non-coding RNA (GBAR_LNC003968)". Lineage: Eukaryota; Viridiplantae; Streptophyta; Magnoliopsida; Malvales; Malvaceae. The record is from RNAcentral.
GCCGGGGUAUUUUCAAUUUCUGUUUUUCAAUUUAUGUUUCAAAAAAAUCAACUCAUAUUGCAAGAGGUAAGUUGAGCCUCAGGUCACACGCUGAGAUAUUUUUAAUUCCUGUUUUUUAAAAGUCAACUCGUAUUGCGAGAGGCGAGAUGAGCCUCAGAUCACACGCCGAGGUCAUACGAUGAGGUGAGUUGAGCCUUGGGUCACACGUUGAGGAUAAAGAUUGGAGUUGAUUGAAGACACCAGAUUUUGUCUCCCUGAAGUUGCAGUGGAGCUGAUCGAGGAUAUCAGAUCUUACCUUUCUGGAGUUGCAGAAGAAGAGACCACAAACCUUAUCCCAUUGAAGCGGUAGAAUAGUGGAUUGAAGUUGUAGAUCUUAUCUUCCUAAAGUUGCAGAGAAGAUCGAAGUCAUAAAUCUCAUAUCCUUGAAGUUACAUUGCAUCAGAUUGAAAGCUACAAGUCAAAUCUCUGAAGUUGCGGUGAAAUGAACCAAGGCAACAAGAUGCGGUGGACUGGAAAGAGACUACCUGAACAAGAAGAGCACCAAAGAAGUCAAGACUCGGCAAAACCGGGCAAAAUUGACCUUUCUUUCUGUCUUUGCUCUAUUCCCGUUACACAACAAUGAGCAAAGAGGGGCAGCUGUUGCAGGACAAUUUAUAUAUGUAUAUACAUGUACGUAUUUAUGUAGUGUAUUAAUAGUUUAUUUCAUAUUAUUAUCAUUUCUAAUAUAUAUAUAUCGUAUAUGUUUUUAUAUAUAUUAUGUAUAUAUUUUUAAUAUUAUUAGUUAUAUAUUUUUUAUACUAUUUCAUGUAUAUAUUUUUAUAUUAUCUUAUGUAUAUAUUAUCUUAAUAACUAUAUUAUGUAUGUAUUUUUAACACUAUAUUAUGUACAUACUUUUAAUAUUAUUAUGUAUUUAUCUUUAAUAUAUAUGUAUAUAUUUAUGUAGUAUUAUUAAUAGUCAUUUUUUUUAUUUCUAAUAUGUAUAUAUUAUGUAAAUAUUUUAAUACUGUAUUAUUUAUAUUUUUUUUCUUGCAUAUUAUCUUAUGUAUAUAUUUUUUAAAUAACUAUAUUAUGUAUGUAUUUUUAACGCUUAUUAUGUACAUAUUUUUAAUACUAUGUUUAUACUUUUUAUUCUUAUUAUUACGUAUAAAUUUUAAUACACAUUCGUAUAUAUUUAUAUAUCGUUAUUAUUAUUAGUUAUUUUUUUUGUAUUAUUACUAUUUUCAAUAUAUAUUGUAUAUGUAUAUAUUUUUUUAAAAAUCUAGUAUUAUAUGUUUUAUAUAAAUAUGUUCACUACUAUUUUAUAUUUGUAUUAUUACUAUUAUUAUCAUGUUUAACACCAUAUGCAUUACUAUUGUCUUAUGACUAUUAUUAUCACAUAUACAUUGUUAAUGUUUUAUAUAUUAUUUGCUUCGUAUAUUCUUAACUUUUCAUUAUUAUUUGCCUGUGCCGAAUUUAGCAUAAUAGAUCACAUCUUAUUUCAACAUCGAUAUUAGUUUUCUUUUUCUUUUUAUUCUUAUUUUAAAAUAUUUUUCAUUCAUGUUUUUAAUUUCAAUAAAUAAGGUAACGUACCGAUUUAACAUUAAGUCGUCGAUUUCAUCGCUAUGUUGGGUGAAUAUCAUCGGCUCGUGUUAAAAACGGAACGCCCUUCUCAAAAGAAAUCGAAAUUUUAAAAAAUUCUCGUGUUUUGAUCGGAUCACGAUUAAAAUUUAAAUUGAACUUGUAUUCUUGAGAAUUAAGACAACGCGUGUUUAACAAGAUACCAAUUUUGGGCGUUGCGAGGGUGCUAACACCAUCCUCUCGCGUAACCGACUCCCGAACCCUAUUUUCCUCUGGAUUUUUGCGUAGACCCAAAUUCGGCCUUCAUUUUUGCUCAAAAAUAAAUUUUCGUUUCUAAAAAGAAGAUUUAUUAGGUGUCCAAUCACACCUAGAAAAAAACAUCGGUGGUGACUCAUUUUCUUUUUAAAACCGAAAUUCCAUUUUCAAAUUUUCAAAUAAUCGCCUCAACUAGCGACCAAAGUAAAAUUUUUCACGUCGCUAAAGGUGAGCUAUAGAGGCUUUAGCGGUGCUUCCUAUAAACGCCGCAAUAUAUCGAGAAUUACCGGCGUUUUUCCUGAAACACCGCAAAAGGUGAAGCAAAUAGCGACGGCUUUUUAAAAAUGCCGUAAAAGUUUUGAGCAAAACGACGUCAUCUUUUGGUGAGCUAUAGGGGCAUUAGCGGCGUUUUUUCUGAAACGCCGCAAUAGGUGAAGCAUUAGCGGCGUUUUAAUAAAAAAAUUAUGUUAUUUUAAGGUUUAUUGUUAUGAAUUUUAGGUUUAAUGACUAUGGUUAAUUUAGAGUUUUAGGGUUUAUGAUAUAAUGUUUAUUAUUUUAGGUUAUAGGUUUAUGUUUUAGAGUUUGAGUUUUGGGGUUUACUGUGUUUUAGGUAUAUUAGCUAGGGUCGAAUUAACAUUAAUGUUUAUGGUUUUAGGGGUUAUGCUAUUAGGGAUUAGAGGUUAUGAUUAAUGAUAAAAAAUUAAAUUAUUUUAGGGUUUUGGUAAGCAUUAAGAUUCUAUUUUAAUUGCUUUUGUCCCUUGUAAUAUAUAUAUUAUAAUUAGAACUUGUAAUAUAUAUUAAGAUUCUAUAUAUUUAGGGUGUAAGUUUAGGUUUAGGCUUCAAGUAAAUGAUACUAUUAGAACUGAAGAACAUUUGGAUUUUACUGAGAUUCAUGCCAUUUUGUACUAUACCCAUAUUAUUUAAUAUAAGAAUAUAAACAUAUGUGUUUUAAUUUGUACUACACUAACAUUGGCCACACAAAUUCCCAAAAAUAUGUCCAGGAUUAUGGUUUAGGGUUAACAAUUUUUAAAGUUUAUAGUUUGGGCUUUAUGGUCUAGGAUUUAUGGUUGGUUUAGGGGUUACUGUGAACGGUUUUGGGGUUUAAAGUUUGGGGAUAUGGUUUAGAGUUUAGGGUUUAUGGUUUAGGGUUGGGUUUAGGGUUUAGGGUUUAAGGUUUAGGGUUUAGAGUAUAAUUUUGGAUUUUAAUUUAGAAGAUAAAUAUAAAUAAGAUAAAUAUAUAAAUUAUUAUUUUAAAAGAAUAUAUAUCAAAAUGGGUUAAAUCCCAAAUAGCUAAGAUGAAAAAUGGUUUAGUGUGCAAUUGUGUACACGAACUAUAAUUUGAUCUAGAUCUUGUAAAAUAUUAACACAAUUAUUGAUAUAAAUAGCAUCAUGUUUUUAUUUCAUUAAUUUAUAUAUUGCAUACAUAAUAUUUAUAUUUAUUCAAUAUAAAAAUAUAUUGAUGUAUUUUAAAAUGUGUAUUAAUUUAUAUAUUGCAUACACCUAAUAUAAAUAUAUGAAAUAUAUAUUUUGUACUACGCUAACAUUAUUUGGAUAUAAUUUAAAAGAAAUUCUAAAUAUAUAGUUUUAAAUUUUGAUCAAUUUUUAAAAAACAUUUUUUAUUAUCAAAGGUAUUAGCUGCUUUUAUAUAUAAAACGCUGCAAAUGGUAGGAAAUGGCGACGCUUUUAACACAACGCCACAAAUUUUAAUUGUACAUUAAAGAAAAAUGGCGUUGUUUCAUAUGAAUAUUAGAGGCGUUUUUAUAAAAACCGCCACAAAUUGUAAUCGAAUUUAAUUUAGAACGGGGUCGUUUUGUAGUGUAGAUAGAAGUGACAUUAGUGGCGCUUCGCGUAAAACGCCGCAAAAGGUCUCAUUAGCGGCGCUUUGAUGAAAACGCCACAAAUUCUCCUUAUAUGAAACGGCGUCGUUUUUUCUCCCUUGAAGUUUAUCUCCUUUAGCCGAAAUCAGUUCAGUUUUUUGCUAAGUCAUUUCCCUAUUUCGGUUCUUACUUUCCUAAAUCCCUAAAACAAAGAAAUCCCUAACUUUUUUCCCUUUCCUCCCUUAAUACCCCAAACCCAAAAUCCCUAACAUUUUCCCCAAAUCUUGUAGCACCCCAAACCCGGCCCAGAAGUUAUGGCCGGAUCCGGCAUGCCACAUUAAAAACGUAAAAAAAAAAUUUCAUUCUAAGUCCAGAAAAUCGUACUUGAUGUUCAAAAGAUUAAUUCAUUAAGGGUUAAAGUGAAUGGAAGCUGUGCACCAGGUAGGAAACCGGAAAAGAGGUGGUGAGUCCAUCGGACUGCUUAAGUACCAAGCUCUCUUCGGAUCCAAUCCUAGAUAUGCAUACCGCCAUUGCCACACCUUAACGUCAUGGAUAUUUCUAAGAAACCGAUUCGAUUAAGUCAUUUUUAGGAAAAGUGAUUAAUUUUGGAAAAUACUUUCAUUGCGGAAGCUUUGCUUGUUGUCGUGUUAUUUUGAAAGCAACUGUUGUUUUUGAAAACGCGCCCUAAAGCUAUCCAAUUUCAACAGUUAAAAUAAGUAUUACCUAUCUUAGUAAUACAUAUUAAAAACCAUCAAAAAAUAAAUAAGCGGCCUAAUUACAUUUAAAAGCCCAAAACCUCAAACGUAAUUAAAAGGAUGUCCAGUUCACCAGAAGAAAAUCAAAUUUUCAGAACGGGUGGCCACUCCGAAUUCCCUCACAGCUCUAAGCCCACUAUGGUUGGGGAUUUCUUGCGUGGAUGAAAAUAAAAGGGGUGAGUUUGGGGAAACUCAGUGUGUAAGGAAAACCCUUUCAAAGCCCAAGUCAGCUUAAGCCUAUUGGGCCUAAGCCCAUUCAGGUAACAGUGGUACUGGACCAAAGCCCUUUUCAGAUUACAAUAAACUGGGCCUUAGCCCCUUAUUCAGAUAACAGUAUGGCCCAUAAGCCCAUUUCAAAAUACAUGCAACAUCAGUAAACAUAUGCAAGCCCAUUUGGGGAGAUUACUCAACCUACCAACCACUACACUCCACCCAUACCAGCCAUACACUCCAUGUGGGGAUAGCUCAACCCACCCAGCCCAAUACUCCACAGUUGCAGCAUUGCUGCUCAGUUAACAGUAAAUUGAGGCAAAGCCUCCAGUACGUGGACAAGCCUUUUCAGUACUUCCUCCGUCAAUAUCCCAAUCCCAUGCAUCAGAUAAUAGCAACAUGGCAUGCAAUAAAUAACAACAGUCAAACAUGCAUUUAAGUCAAUUUAACCCUAGGGGUAUUUCGGCAAUUUAUCUCCUAGGGGUAAAACUGUAAAUUUUCCAUUUUUAAAGGUAUUUCAGUAAUUUAUCUAUUUUAGGGUUUUUCAUGCAUAUUCCUACUUUUCACGUACUACAGAAUCACGUACCGAGGGUUCUUAUCGAAUUGGGCCCGUUGGCCCAUCAUUCCAAUUUUGGCCCAUUAAGCCCAAAAAUAUCGAGGGCACAGAAAUCAUGCACUUUGCAGUCCAAACAUUGCAGCUUACCAAAAACAUUAAUCGAAUUACCUCACGAGCAUUCACACACUCGCAAAUCUACAAAAUACCGGUUUUCGGCAUUUCGAAUUUUCGACUUUUGCCGAUCUAGACUAAGAAAAAGGGUGUUAGUUACACACAGUUUGCGACGAUAUGCUGACGAGAUCCAUACACGAACCGCCUACAAUUGGAUUACUAACACGUUAAUCUAACUAUUCAAAUAUGAACUACGUAUUAACCCCUUACAAUAUUCCACCAACCACACCUACAGAUCAUAGUAAGCUUAUAAGAAAUCAAUAAGCAACUCAUUAGCAAAUUUUUGUCAAUGUUUACCACAUAAUCAUAAUUUCACUGCAAGCUGUCUUCCUGAGCAACAGUUACUAAAUCAUUUAUAACUGGAGCUACGAAACUCCAAAUCAAGUGACGUUAAUUUUCCCUGAAAAUAGACUCAUAUAUCUUAUAUCCAUAAAAUUUUCAGAAUUUUUGGUUUGGCCAAUCAAUACCAUAUUUUUCUUAAAGUUUCCCAUGUUUCACUAUUUGACUAAUCUGACCACUCUUCAUUACGAAUCAAAUUUCUCGUUGUACAGAAUUCAAAAUAUAUUCUCGUUUAUUCCAUUUGAAACUAGACUCAUCAAGCCUUAAUUACAUAAUUUAUGCAGCUUCUAACUCAUCUCCCAAAAUUUAUGGUGAUUUUCCAAAGUCACGUUACUGCUGCUGUCCCAAGCAGAUUUAUUACCAAAUCACUCUUUCACACAUAACUUGCAUGCAUGUUAUUUAAACAUGUAUAUCACCAAUCAAUCAUCACAUAUCUAUGAGUUUACUUAAGUAUAGUCUCCAUUUCAUCAUUUUAAAGCACAACAUGUUAGCCGAUUUUUCCCCUUAGCAUCUAAGGCACAUGCAUGCUCAUUUGUUUGGCUCAACUCCACCUAUCUUCCAUUUUUCAUCAAAAGAACAUGAAACAACAACCAUUCCCUUCAUUUUAAUUCAUGACCAAAUGCUCACAACACAACCAAAAACCAAAAUAUGCUUCAAGAGUUAAGGUAGAAUCAAGAAGAACUCAUGAACCUCAAAAUAGAAGCAAGGUACCAAGAACUUACCUUCAAUUUUCCUCCUCCUAAUGACCGAAUACUCAAGAGCUUUCUCCUCUCCUUUCUCUUCUCUAACUUUCAGCUAUGAUGAACAAAGAUGGACAAAACUUUGUUC